GAGUUUGAUCCUGGCUCAGAAUGAACGCUGGCGGCGUGCUUAACACAUGCAAGUCGGACGAGAAAGGCUGAUUUCGGUUGGCCGAGUAAAGUGGCGCACGGGUGAGUAACGCGUAGGCAACCUACCCUUGUAUUGGGGAUAACCCUGCGAAAGUGGGGCUAAUACCGGAUGAGACCCUACUCUGGAGGGGAUAGGGUGAAAGUCGGCCGCUCGGAGAAGCUGACGUACGAGGAUGGGCCUGCGUCCUAUCAGCUGGUUGGUGGGGUAGCGGCCUACCAAGGCGACGACGGGUAGCUGGUCUGAGAGGAUGAUCAGCCACACUGGCACUGGAACACGGGCCAGACUCCUACGGGAGGCAGCAGUGAGGAAUUUUGCGCAAUGGCCGCAAGGCUGACGCAGCAACGCCGCGUGGGUGAUGAAGGCCUUCGGGUCGUAAAGCCCUGUCAGGUGGGAAGAAAGGCCUGGAGAGGAAAGGUUUCAGGUUUGACGGUACCACCAGAGGAAGCACCGGCUAACUCCGUGCCAGCAGCCGCGGUAAUACGGAGGGUGCGAGCGUUAUUCGGAAUUACUGGGCGUAAAGCGCGUGUAGGCGGGGGGACAAGUCUGAUGUGAAAGCCCUGGGCUUAACCUGGGAAGUGCAUUGGAAACUGUUUUUCUUGAGUACUGGAGAGGAAGGGGGAAUUCCCGGUGUAGAGGUGAAAUUCGUAGAGAUCGGGAGGAAUACCAGUGGCGUAGGCGCCCUUCUGGACGGUAACUGACGCUGAGACGCGAAAGCGUGGGGAGCAAACAGGAUUAGAUACCCUGGUAGUCCACGCUGUAAACGAUGAUCACUAGGUGUAGCGGGUACUCAUUCCUGCUGUGCCGCAGCUAACGCGUUAAGUGAUCCGCCUGGGGGAUUACGGU
Molecule: ribosomal RNA, 903 nt
Filed under: uncultured bacterium
Lineage: Bacteria
Description: bacterial SSU rRNA
Rfam family: Bacterial small subunit ribosomal RNA
Source: RNAcentral